AAUAGAUACCCUGGUAGUCCAUGCCGUAAACGUUGGGAACUAGGUGUGGGUCUCAUUCCACGAGAUCCGUGCCGCAGCUAACGCAUUAAGUUCCCCGCCUGGGGAGUACGGCCGCAAGGCUAAAACUCAAAGGAAUUGACGGGGGCCCGCACAAGCGGCGGAGCAUGCGGAUUAAUUCGAUGCAACGCGAAGAACCUUACCAAGGCUUGACAUACACCGGAAUCACUCAGAGAUGGGUGCGUCUUCGGACUGGUGUACAGGUGGUGCAUGGUUGUCGUCAGCUCGUGUCGUGAGAUGUUGGGUUAAGUCCCGCAACGAGCGCAACCCUCGUUCUAUGUUGCCAGCACGUGAUGGUGGUGACUCAUAGGAGACUGCCGGGGUCAACUCGGAGGAAGGUGGGGAUGACGUCAAAUCAUCAUGCCCCUUAUGUCUUGGGCUUCACGCAUGCUACAAUGGCCGGUACAAAGGGCUGCGAAACCGCGAGGUGGAGCGAAUCCCAAAAAACCGGUCUCAGUUCGGAUUGGGGU
RNAcentral lists this ribosomal RNA (527 nucleotides) under uncultured bacterium. Its description in RNAcentral is "bacterial SSU rRNA". It matches the Rfam family "Bacterial small subunit ribosomal RNA", at positions 777 to 1304 of the family's 1533-position model. The record is from RNAcentral.